Camelus dromedarius (Arabian camel) is the source of this 1211-nucleotide long non-coding RNA. RefSeq lists it as uncharacterized. The record is from RefSeq and is a predicted model, not a curated record. The transcript has 3 exons. NCBI's taxonomy places the organism in Eukaryota, Metazoa, Chordata, Mammalia, Artiodactyla, Camelidae.
CUUCGAUUUCGAGGUGGCUAAGGCUUCCUCUCAUGUGCUUCAAGAGGAAGUAGCCGUUAACUGUGGAGAGGAGACCGACGGGAACAGGGGAGGGGGAGAGCGGUAGUAACCGGAGGACUAGGCUCGCGGCAGGAGAAAACUCACCAACAAACAGAAGCCUAGUUCCUGAGCCUGCCUCCUGCCCCAUCCGCUGGUUUGGCCUUGCUGACUCACAUGCAGCUGGAAAGGAUGGCUUCUGAGAACAGCUCCCAAACUUUCUGGACGACUGAAGGAGGGGUUUGCCAGAGAUUAACUGGGAUGCUGGGUUUUGGGUCACCUUGCAAAGGCAACAACUAAAAACCACAUUUAAACAGCAAGAUUAAACCCACAUUCAGAAUGCCAGGAAGAAAAAUCUUACUCAGGGAUAAAUGCCAAAAUGUUCCAACAAAAAUAACGUUGGCCAGCAAACUGCUGUUCUGUGGGACCAAACACUUCUGGAGGAAGUCCCUGACUCUUAUAAAGGAAAUAUAAAUUGACGCUUUUCAUUUUCCUGAAAAUAUAAUAACUCACUCAGCCAUGAAGUGCUCUUACUACCAGGCCUUCUCUAUCCUCAGAUAACAAAUUGGUAAAAAUAGCAUUCUUCAUUACUGAUUGCUUGUCAACGGUUAUUUUCCCUGAAAAAGCAGGUAAGCAUAGCUGGCUGCCAGCUAAGCAGGGACACAAAGAGGCUGGAGAAUGGCUGCAUCAGAAAACCAUAAAUGUUGUUGUUGAGGAGGUUUUCUGGGAGGGGGUAGAUCGCGAAGAGAGAUAGGCCCGAGGUGAAAUCAGGUCAGAAAGGGCAAGUUUCUCUCUUCUCAAAGGCUAAUAGUCCUGCUCAGAGCUUUGCAAGCCUUUCUGAGCCACCACUGCCCUGAGUCACUCUCUGUGGCAGGGAUCACCGCACUGCUUCCAUACCUGUGUCUUUCCCCCUGUGCUCUCCUGGACAGCCGUGCGGGACAGGGCCGUAGUGGCCACAAAACACGAGAAGAAUCCAGAGAAGAUGUUGCUGAUCCCAAAGGCAAUGAAUUCCUAAAAGAGAGACUAGAUGAGAGUGAUGCUCCAAAUACAGUCUUGCCCUUCAAAACCAGUUCAGCCAAAGGGUGACCCUACCUGGUUCCCAUUGAUGGUGUAAUCAUACUUGAUGGCGUACACUUUUCCUACAGACACUGCGAUGGCAUAAGCUACCACAGCGA